AUGAAGAUCAGUGCGCUCAUGACCUCUGCUGGCAUCAAUAUUGGGAUCUGCGUGCUCUUGUGGUCGCUCUAUUCCGUUCUCAGAAAGCAGCCAGCAUUUGUAAGGGUCUACUUCGGCCGGAGGAUCGCCGAGGAGAAUAGACUGCUCCGAGAGGCCUUCAUCUUGGAGAGGUUUGUUCCAUCCACUGGCUGGAUCGUCAAGGCCCUGCAGUGUACCGAGGAAGAGCUAUUGGCAGCUGCUGGGCUGGAUGCUGUUGCUUUCAAUAGAAUGCUAGUAUUCAGCAUACGCAUCUUUUCCCUAGCUGCCAUCCUGUGUCUUUUUGGAAUUCUUCCAGUGCAUUAUUUUGGACGAAAGAUGCAUCGCCUUGAGAUUUCGUCAGAACAAUUGCAUAUGUUCACAGUUGGUAAUGUGGAAGUGCAAUCAAGAUGGCUUUGGGUUCAUUCUAUAGUCCUCUACAUUAUAUCUGGAGUAGCUUGCUUUCUCCUAUAUGUUGAGUAUGGGCACAUUGCUAGGCUGAGGCUCCUUCACCUUAAACGUGCAACACUAAAUCCAGGUCAAUUUACCGUGCUUGUUCGCGGAAUACCAAAGACAGAAAAUGAAUCAUGCAGUAGUGAUGUCGAUGAUUUCUUCACCAAGUAUCAUGCAUCAAGUUACUUAUUCCAUCAAGUUGUUUACAAGGCUGGGAAAGUUCAGAAGAUAAUGACUGGUGCAAAGAAGGCAUGUGGAAUGUCAGACCCUUCCACAGACACAACUCUAGAUCAGAGGUGCAAGGCUGUUACAUACCCGUGUUGUCUUUGUGGAGCCUCUUCGGAUUCUUUCCAGUUGUUACCGACUGACGAAGUUGCAAAGAACAUAGAUAAGAAGGAAUGUGCAGCUGCUUUUGUAUUUUUCAAAACUCGGUAUGGAGCACUUGUUGCUUCAGAAGCACUUCAGACUUCGAACCCUACAAAGUGGGUUACUGAUCUAGCUCCAGAACCAGAUGAUGUGUAUUGGUCAAACAUUUGGCUUCCUUAUAAGCAGCUUUGGAUUCGACGGAUAGCUACUGUUCUAGGUUCUCUUGUUUUUCUGGUCUUAUUUGUGGUACCAGUGGCAUUUAUACAAGGUCUAUCCCAGCUUGAUCAGUUGCAGAAGAAGCUCCCUUUCCUUGAUGGGUUACUGAAGAAGCCAUACAUGAGCCAAAUAAUAACUGGAUACCUUCCUAGCGUCAUACUGCUACUAUUCCUGUACACCGUUUCGCCAAUAAUGAUACUGUUUUCGACAAUGGAGGGGCCUACAUCUCACAGUGAAAGGAAGAAGAGUGCUUGCUCUAAAGUGCUGCACUUCUACAUUUGGAAUGUGUUCUUUGUUAGUUUAGCAUCUGGUGCUGUCAUAAACCAAUUGAACCCUUCUUCGAGUACGAAGGACAUCGCUGUCCGGCUAGCUCGUGUCAUACCUGAGCAGACUACGUUCUUCAUCACCUAUGUUCUGACUUCAGGAUGGGCCAGUUUAUCAUCUGAACUUAUGCAACUCUUUGGUCUGAUCUAUAACUUUAUAAUAAAGUAUGUCCUGAGAAUGAAAGAAGAUAUCGCGUUUGUUCCCACAUUUCCUUAUCACACAGAAAUACCAAAAGUUAUGUUGUUUGGACUAUUGGGCUUCUCGUGCUCUGUACUGGCACCCUUGAUCUUACCUUUUCUGCUAGUCUACUUCUUCCUGGGUUAUGUUGUAUACCGCAAUCAGCUGCUCAAUGUUUACCGCAUGAGAUAUGACAGUGGUGGUUUGUAUUGGCCAAUUGUACACAACACGGUGAUAUUCUCUCUAGUGCUCACCCAGGUCAUCUGCUUCGGUGUAUUUGGCCUAAAAGAAUCACCAGUAGCUGCAGGCUUCACUAUACCUCCUAUCUUCUUUAUUCUUUCGUUCCAUCAGUAUUGUAGAACCCGAUUCCUUCCCCUGUUCAAAACUUUUCCGUCACAGGAUUUAAUCGACUUGGACAGGGAAGACCAAAGGUCAGGGAGAAUGGAACAUAUUCACCACGGACUCCGUUCCGCAUACCGCCAGUUCCCUGACAAUGAAGAUAUAAAGCUGGAGCAAAUCCUGACCGUCGGGAAUGAUGAGGACCAAGACGAAGGCUGUAGCUCGGGCGAGCGCAACGGAGAAGAAACCUGCAAGGAACAAGAGCCAGAAGGGAUCUGUGUCACUCAACUCUGA
This 2184-nucleotide ribosomal RNA is filed under the name Triticum aestivum (bread wheat). RNAcentral's name for it is "partial small subunit ribosomal RNA". Lineage: Eukaryota; Viridiplantae; Streptophyta; Magnoliopsida; Poales; Poaceae. The record is from RNAcentral.